CUGCUCAUGGGAGAUACUUGAUUACCAUUUUGCUCCUCAAUAGUCAUGUGGUUAUGAUAACAUAUGCUUCAUAUUCUUCAGCCAACAGUCAACAAAAGGUUGUGGUCCAAAUCUCAAUGGAGAUAAUAUAAAUUUGUACUGUUGAUUGUCUCAACAAACUUGGUUGGUUCAUUAAUCCGUAUGAAGUAAUUCAUCUCAUGGAGUUUGAGACAAGGGAGGGCAAAGGGAAAAAAUCAUAGACAUGCAUGCUACUAG
This is a long non-coding RNA of Zingiber officinale, 255 nucleotides long. RefSeq lists it as uncharacterized. NCBI's taxonomy places the organism in Eukaryota, Viridiplantae, Streptophyta, Magnoliopsida, Zingiberales, Zingiberaceae. The transcript has 3 exons. The record is from RefSeq and is a predicted model, not a curated record.